GAUGAACGCUGGCGGCGUGCCUAAUACAUGCAAGUCGAGCGAACGGACGAGAAGCUUGCUUUUCUGAUGUUAGCGGCGGAGGGGUGGGUAACACGUGGAUAACCUACCUAUAAGACUGGGAUAACUUCGGGAAACCGGAGCUAAUCCCGGAUAAUAUUUUGAACCGCAGGGUUCAAAAGAGAAAGACGGUCUUGGGGUAACGUAUAGAUGGAUCCGCGCUGCAUUAGCUAGUUGGGAAGGUAACGGCUUACGAAGGCAACUAUGCAUAGGCGACGUGAGGGAGUGAUAGGCCACAUUGGAACUGAGCCACGGUCAAUGCUACUGCGGUACGCACCAGUAGGCUAUCUUCCGCAGUGGGCGAAAGCCUGACGGAGCAACGCCGAGUCAGUGAUGACGGUCUUCCGAUCGUAAAACUCUGCUACUAGGGAAAAACAUAUGUGUAAGUAACUGUGCACAGCUUGACGGUACCUAAUCAGAAAGCAACGGCUAACUACGUG
This 497-nucleotide ribosomal RNA is filed under the name uncultured bacterium. RNAcentral's name for it is "partial 16S ribosomal RNA". It matches the Rfam family "Bacterial small subunit ribosomal RNA", at positions 28 to 507 of the family's 1533-position model. The record is from RNAcentral.